GACGAACGCUGGCGGCGUGCCUAAUACAUGCAAGUUGAGCGCUGAAGGUUGGUACUUGUACCAACUGGAUGAGCAGCGAACGGGUGAGUAACGCGUGGGGAAUCUGCCUUUGAGCGGGGGACAACAUUUGGAAACGAAUGCUAAUACCGCAUAAAAACUUUAAACACAAGUUUUAAGUUUGAAAGAUGCAAUUGCAUCACUCAAAGAUGAUCCCGCGUUGUAUUAGCUAGUUGGUGAGGUAAAGGCUCACCAAGGCGAUGAUACAUAGCCGACUUGAGAGGGUGAUCGGCCACAUUGGGACUGAGACACGGCCCAAACUCCUACGGGAGGCAGCAGUAGGGAAUCUUCGGCAAUGGACGAAAGUCUGACCGAGCAACGCCGCGUGAGUGAAGAAGGUUUUCGGAUCGUAAAACUCUGUUGGUAGAGAAGAACGUUGGUGAGAGUGGAAAGCUCAUCAAGUGACGGUAACUACCCAGAAAGGGACGGCUAACUACGUG
This 497-nucleotide ribosomal RNA is filed under the name uncultured bacterium. Its description in RNAcentral is "partial 16S ribosomal RNA". It matches the Rfam family "Bacterial small subunit ribosomal RNA", at positions 28 to 507 of the family's 1533-position model. The record is from RNAcentral.